AGCGAGCGCUGGCGGCGUGCCUAACACAUGCAAGUCGAGCGAAGGCAUGAGUGUAGCAAUACACUUAUGUACUUAGCGGCGGACGGGUGAGUAACACGUGGAUAAUCGUGCCCUGGGGACCGGGACAACUCUUGGAAACGGGAGCUAAUACCGGAUGUGACCACGAUGCUUGAGGGCAUUGGGGUAAAAGGUGGCCUGCAAGGGCUAUUGCCUUGGGAUGAGUUCACGACCCAUCAGGUAGUUGGGGGUA
RNAcentral lists this ribosomal RNA (250 nucleotides) under uncultured bacterium. RNAcentral describes it as "partial 16S ribosomal RNA". It matches the Rfam family "Bacterial small subunit ribosomal RNA", at positions 29 to 257 of the family's 1533-position model. The record is from RNAcentral.